This 235-nucleotide ribosomal RNA is filed under the name uncultured Lactobacillus sp. RNAcentral's name for it is "partial 16S ribosomal RNA". It matches the Rfam family "Bacterial small subunit ribosomal RNA", at positions 128 to 355 of the family's 1533-position model. The record is from RNAcentral. Lineage: Bacteria; Bacillati; Bacillota; Bacilli; Lactobacillales; Lactobacillaceae.
GCCCAAGAGAUCGGGAUAACACCUGGUAGACAGAUGCUAAUACCGGAUAACAACAGAUGAUGCCUAUCAACUGUUUAAAAGAUGGUUCUGCUAUCACUCUUGGAUGGACCUGCGGUGCAUUAGCUAGUUGGUAGGGUAACGGCCUACCAAGGCGAUGAUGCAUAGCCGAGUUGAGAGACUGAUCGGCCACAUUGGGACUGAGACACGGCCCAAACUCCUACGGGAGGCAGCAGCC